Molecule: long non-coding RNA, 793 nt
Filed under: Homo sapiens (human)
Lineage: Eukaryota; Metazoa; Chordata; Mammalia; Primates; Hominidae
Description: HSALNT0152025
Source: RNAcentral
UGCAGAGCCAGGAAGCUCCUUGCAGCGGUGAAUGUGGUGGCGGUGCUGGCCGGGCACCGUGGCUGUGCCUGGCAGGCCUGCUGAGGGCACAGGGAUUCAUCGCGCUUGGCUCAGAAGCUUCGUUUUUCUGAGACAGCUCCCAGCUUCACUCAAACGUGGUUACCUACAGAUGCAAACUGGAAACGAUGCACUGUUUGUUCCCUUGCAAUCUCUACGGUGAGCAGGCAGGAGCCCCAGCCAGAGUCCUGUGGUCACACACCCACUGGUGGUCAGGCGAUUACUUUAAAACAUGAAAGAAAUUGCACCUUUUCCUUAAGGGCAAGAUGGUGCUGUGGGCUUUCCUCUCUCCUGAUGAGAUGAUGCAAAUGGACUCCAUAGAGAAACGCUGCCCGUGUAACAAUGCAGUUACGCAACCCGGUGCAUGACACAUGAAUUGCAGCGCACCUGAGAUCCUGAUGAAAUCCUGGGAGCCUGGAGCUGUCAAACAUGGUUUUAAAAAAUAAAGGGAAUACACCCAGCCCACACCCUGACUUUACAACCUUUAAUUAAUUAGAGGAAAGAAAGAGAGAUUUGUCUGGUUUCAUGACUUCAACUUUCCACCUGGAAUAUGAAGCUCCUGCUCUUCCCACCUCCUUUUCUUCUCUCUCUCUCUCUCAGGUUUUUAAAUUUCUAUUUCCAGUUCUGCCACCAAAAAUAGAUUGCAAAUAUAUUCUGCAUAAUUCCGAGGCUACACUAUAAAUGUUGGAGUGCUACUACUUGUAUAAUAGUCACAAAUGAACGCACGAGUGGGCAC